ACGCACGCUGGCGGCGUGCUUAACACCUGCCAGUCGAACGGAAAGGCCCUGCUUUUGUGGGGUGCUCGAGUGGCGAACGGGUGAGUAACACGUGAGUAACCUGCCCUUGACUUUGGGAUAACUUUAGGAAACUGGGGCUAAUACCGGAUAGGAGCUCCUGCUGCAUGGUGGGGGUUGGAAAGUUUCGGCGGUUGGGGAUGGACUCGCGGCUUAUCAGCUUGUUGGUGGGGUAGUGGCUUACCAAGGCUUGGACGGGUAGCCGGCCUGAGAGGGUGACCGGCCACAUUGGGACUGAGAUACGGCCCAGACUCCUACGGGAGGCAGCAGUGGGGAAUAUUGCACAAUGGGCGGAAGCCUGAUGCAGCAACGCCGCGUGCGGGAUGACGGCCUUCGGGUUGUAAACCGCUUUCGCCUGUGACGAAGCGUGAGUGACGGUAAUGGGUAAAGAAGCACCGGCUAACUACGUG
Molecule: ribosomal RNA, 467 nt
Filed under: uncultured bacterium
Lineage: Bacteria
Description: partial 16S ribosomal RNA
Rfam family: Bacterial small subunit ribosomal RNA
Source: RNAcentral